AUGCGGUACUCUAUCGGAUCGCCUUAAUGGUGCAGGUACAUUGGGCUCCAGAUCUGAUCUAAUCAUAUCUGACUAAGGUUCAGCUAUUGGUAUCGGUCCUUCUUGUUGGAGCACGAUCUCAGCUCCUCCCACGGACCUUUGGUGCAGUGGAACCAGCAACAAAUAGAUCUGGAGACUUCUGGACACGAUCCAAGGCCCUUGAUGAAAUCAG
RNAcentral lists this long non-coding RNA (211 nucleotides) under Elaeis guineensis (African oil palm). RNAcentral describes it as "long non-coding RNA (EGUI_LNC058319)". Lineage: Eukaryota; Viridiplantae; Streptophyta; Magnoliopsida; Arecales; Arecaceae. The record is from RNAcentral.